Long non-coding RNA from Saccostrea cuccullata (small rock oyster), 467 nucleotides. RefSeq lists it as uncharacterized. The record is from RefSeq and is a predicted model, not a curated record. Lineage: Eukaryota; Metazoa; Mollusca; Bivalvia; Ostreida; Ostreidae. The transcript is spliced from 2 exons.
GUGCUGCUUGGAGUGGCUACAGAGGAGGCUGGUGGUUUAACGCCUGUCACCGAGCCUUCCUUAACGGUCAAUGGUCCCCGGGGUCCUGGUACAACCCAUGGUCUCCCACAGUAACGAGUGGAUCGUUUAUAAGAGGGACUUCGAUGAUGGUCAGACGGCACUAGGAGAUGGAUAUUGUUAAGAAAGAAAAAGAACACAAUGACGACCACCUAGCAGUCUGGCAAGCAUGGCCUUUCUGAUAUAAAAGACAAUUUUAAUUCUGUCAACCAUGGAGUUAUGUUAAUCCGUUUUCUAUUAUAAUGUUUUAUACCAAGUAACAAAACCUGUAAACGAUUAUGUUCUUGAAGAAGUCUUGUGGAUGAACUGUUACCUGAAGCAAAAUAUUUUUGAACAAUUUUUAUACUGAACUUUGUAGAUUAAACUUUUAUAUUGUAAAGUGUUGUAAUAAAAUAUACUUUUGAAAUAUU